RNAcentral lists this ribosomal RNA (436 nucleotides) under uncultured bacterium. Its description in RNAcentral is "bacterial SSU rRNA". It matches the Rfam family "Bacterial small subunit ribosomal RNA", at positions 99 to 518 of the family's 1533-position model. The record is from RNAcentral.
CGGACGGGGUGAGUAACACGUGGACAAUCUGCCCCCCGGCCGGGAUUAGCCCAGGGAAACCUGGAUUAAUACCGGAUGAGACGGGGACCCGCGAUGGCGGGACCCGGGAAAGGCGCUGCGGCGCCGCCGGGGGAUGAGUCUGCGUCCCAUUAGCUAGACGGCGGGGUAACGGCCCACCGUGGCGACGAUGGGUAGCCGGCCUGAGAGGGUGGACGGCCACAUUGGAACUGAGACACGGUCCAGACUCCUACGGGAGGCAGCAGCUAAGAAUCUUCCGCAAUGGGCGAAAGCCUGACGGAGCGACGACCCGCGUGAACGAAGAAGGCCGUGAGGUUGUAAAGUUCUUUUCGGGAGGGGGAACAACCGUGGCAGGGAAUGGCCGCGGGAUGACGUGAAUCCCGGAAUAAGCCCCGGCUAACUACGUGCCAGCAGCUGC